RNAcentral lists this ribosomal RNA (251 nucleotides) under uncultured bacterium. RNAcentral describes it as "partial 16S ribosomal RNA". It matches the Rfam family "Bacterial small subunit ribosomal RNA", at positions 524 to 776 of the family's 1533-position model. The record is from RNAcentral.
GACGGGGGGGGCAAGUGUUCUUCGGAAUGACUGGGCGUAAAGGGCACGUAGGCGGUGAAUCGGGUUGAAAGUGAAAGUCGCCAAAAACUGGCGGAAUGCUCUCGAAACCAAUUCACUUGGGUGAGACAGAGGAGAGUGGAAUUUCGUGUGUAGGGGUGAAAUCCGCAAAUCUACGAAGGAAGGCCAAAAGCAAAGGCAGCUCUCUGGGUCCCUACCGACACUGGGGUGCGAAAGCAUGGGGAGCGAACAGG